CCCUUAGAUGUUCUGGGCUGCACGCGCGCUACACUGAAGCUAUCAACACGUUUUCCCUCCCUGAGAAGGGCGGGUAACCUUUUGAAUCAGCUUCGUGGUAGGGAUCGGGGCUUGCAAUUGUUCCCCGUGAACCAGGAAUUCCUAGUAGACGCGAGUCAUAAGCUCGCAUUGAUUAAGUCCCUGCCCUUUGUACACACCGCCCGUCGCUACUACCGAUUGAACGUUUUAGUGAGGCAUUUGGACCGACGCAUCUCAGUUUAACCGCUGGUUUGUGUUGGAAAGACUUCCAAACUUGAGCGUUUAGAGGAAGUAAAAGUCGUAACA
Molecule: ribosomal RNA, 324 nt
Filed under: uncultured eukaryote
Lineage: Eukaryota
Description: partial 18S ribosomal RNA
Rfam family: Eukaryotic small subunit ribosomal RNA
Source: RNAcentral